RNAcentral lists this transfer RNA (74 nucleotides) under Saprospiraceae bacterium. RNAcentral describes it as "tRNA-Ala". It matches the Rfam family "tRNA". From Rfam's summary of the family: Transfer RNA (tRNA) molecules are approximately 80 nucleotides in length. Their secondary structure includes four short double-helical elements and three loops (D, anti-codon, and T loops). The record is from RNAcentral. RNAcentral also lists the same sequence under 1 other name. Lineage: Bacteria; Pseudomonadati; Bacteroidota; Saprospiria; Saprospirales; Saprospiraceae.
GGGGGUUUAGCUCAGUUGGCUAGAGCGCUUGCAUGGCAUGCAAGAGGUCGUCGGUUCGAGCCCGAUAACCUCCA